Molecule: ribosomal RNA, 94 nt
Filed under: Dyschoriste linearis
Lineage: Eukaryota; Viridiplantae; Streptophyta; Magnoliopsida; Lamiales; Acanthaceae
Description: 5.8S ribosomal RNA
Rfam family: 5.8S ribosomal RNA
About the family: 5.8S ribosomal RNA (5.8S rRNA) is a component of the large subunit of the eukaryotic ribosome. It is transcribed by RNA polymerase I as part of the 45S precursor that also contains 18S and 28S rRNA.
Source: RNAcentral
AAAACAACUCUCAGCAACGGAUAUCUCGGCUCUCGCAUCGAUGAAGAACGUAGCGAAAUGCGAUACUUGGUGWGAAUUGUAGAAUCCCGUGAAC